UACGAAGGGGGCGAGCGUUGUUCGGAAUUACUGGGCGUAAAGCGCACGUAGGCGGCUUUCUAAGUCAGGGGUGAAAUCCUGGAGCUCAACUCCAGAACUGCCUUUGAUACUGGAGAGCUUGAGUCCGGGAGAGGUGAGUGGAACUCCGAGUGUAGAGGUGAAAUUCGUAGAUAUUCGGAAGAACACCAGUGGCGAAGGCGGCUCACUGGCCCGGUACUGACGCUGAGGUGCGAAAGCGUGGGGAGCAAACAGG
Molecule: ribosomal RNA, 253 nt
Filed under: uncultured bacterium
Lineage: Bacteria
Description: partial 16S ribosomal RNA
Rfam family: Bacterial small subunit ribosomal RNA
Source: RNAcentral